RNAcentral lists this transfer RNA (67 nucleotides) under Doa sp. MJT-2014. RNAcentral's name for it is "tRNA-Cys". Lineage: Eukaryota; Metazoa; Arthropoda; Insecta; Lepidoptera; Doidae. The record is from RNAcentral.
AGCUUUAUAGUCAUAUAGUUUAUGAUAUAAAAUUGCAAAUUUUAAGGAGUAAAAUUUACUAAGGCUU